UGCAGUAGAACGCUGAAGAGAGGAGCUUGCUCUUCUUGGAUGAGUUGCGAACGGGUGAGUAACGCGUAGGUAACCUGCCUUGUAGCGGGGGAUAACUAUUGGAAACGAUAGCUAAUACCGCAUAACAAUGGAUGACACAUGUCAUUUAUUUGAAAGGGGCAAUUGCUCCACUACAAGAUGGACCUGCGUUGUAUUAGCUAGUAGGUGAGGUAAUGGCUCACCUAGGCGACGAUACAUAGCCGACCUGAGAGGGUGAUCGGCCACACUGGGACUGAGACACGGCCCAGACUCCUACGGGAGGCAGCAGUAGGGAAUCUUCGGCAAUGGGGGCAACCCUGACCGAGCAACGCCGCGUGAGUGAAGAAGGUUUUCGGAUCGUAAAGCUCUGUUGUAAGUCAAGAACGGGUGUGAGAGUGGAAAGUUCACACUGUGACGGUAGCUUACCAGAAAGGGACGGCUAACUACGUGCCAGCAGCCGCGGUAAUACGUAGGUCCCGAGCGUUGUCCGGAUUUAUUGGGCGUAAAGCGAGCGCAGGCGGUUUGAUAAGUCUGAAGUUAAAGGCUGUGGCUCAACCAUAGUUCGCUUUGGAAACUGUCAAACUUGAGUGCAGAAGGGGAGAGUGGAAUUCCAUGUGUAGCGGUGAAAUGCGUAGAUAUAUGGAGGAACACCGGUGGCGAAAGCGGCUCUCUGGUCUGUAACUGACGCUGAGGCUCGAAAGCGUGGGGAGCGAACAGGAUUAGAUACCCUGGUAGUCCACGCCGUAAACGAUGAGUGCUAGGUGUUGGAUCCUUUCCGGGAUUCAGUGCCGCAGCUAACGCAUUAAGCACUCCGCCUGGGGAGUACGACCGCAAGGUUGAAACUCAAAGGAAUUGACGGGGGCCCGCACAAGCGGUGGAGCAUGUGGUUUAAUUCGAAGCAACGCGAAGAACCUUACCAGGUCUUGACAUCCCGAUGCUAUUUCUAGAGAUAGAAAGUUACUUCGGUACAUCGGUGACAGGUGGUGCAUGGUUGUCGUCAGCUCGUGUCGUGAGAUGUUGGGUUAAGUCCCGCAACGAGCGCAACCCCUAUUGUUAGUUGCCAUCAUUCAGUUGGGCACUCUAGCGAGACUGCCGGUAAUAAACCGGAGGAAGGUGGGGAUGACGUCAAAUCAUCAUGCCCCUUAUGACCUGGGCUACACACGUGCUACAAUGGUUGGUACAACGAGUUGCGAGUCGGUGACGGCGAGCUAAUCUCUUAAAGCCAAUCUCAGUUCGGAUUGUAGGCUGCAACUCGCCUACAUGAAGUCGGAAUCGCUAGUAAUCGCGGAUCAGCACGCCGCGGUGAAUACGUUCCCGGGCCUUGUACACACCGCCCGUCACACCACGAGAGUUUGUAACACCCGAAGUCGGUGAGGUAACCU
This 1400-nucleotide ribosomal RNA is filed under the name Streptococcus thermophilus. RNAcentral's name for it is "bacterial SSU rRNA". It matches the Rfam family "Bacterial small subunit ribosomal RNA". Lineage: Bacteria; Bacillati; Bacillota; Bacilli; Lactobacillales; Streptococcaceae. The record is from RNAcentral.